UACGUAGGUCCCGAGCGUUGUCCGGAUUUAUUGGGCGUAAAGCGAGCGCAGGUGGUUUAUUAAGUCUGGUGUAAAAGGCAGUGGCUCAACCAUUGUAUGCAUUGGAAACUGGUAGACUUGAGUGCAGGAGAGGAGAAUGGAAUUCCAUGUGUAGCGGUGAAAUGCGUAGAUAUAUGGAGGAACACCGGUGGCGAAAGCGGCUCUCUGGCCUGUAACUGACACUGAGGCUCGAAAGCGUGGGGAGCAAACAGG
Molecule: ribosomal RNA, 252 nt
Filed under: uncultured bacterium
Lineage: Bacteria
Description: partial 16S ribosomal RNA
Rfam family: Bacterial small subunit ribosomal RNA
Source: RNAcentral